UACGGAGGGAGCUAGCGUUGUUCGGAAUUACUGGGCGUAAAGCGCACGUAGGCGGCUAUUCAAGUCAGAGGUGAAAGCCCGGGGCUCAACCCCCGGAACUGCCUUUGAAACUAGAUAGCUUGAAUCUUGGAGAGGCGAGUGGAAUUCCGAGUGUAGAGGUGAAAUUCGUAGAUAUUCGGAAGAACACCAGUGGCGAAGGCGACUCGCUGGACAAGUAUUGACGCUGAGGUGCGAAAGCGUGGGGAGCAAACAGGAUUAGAUACCCCUGUAGU
This 272-nucleotide ribosomal RNA is filed under the name uncultured bacterium. RNAcentral describes it as "partial 16S ribosomal RNA". It matches the Rfam family "Bacterial small subunit ribosomal RNA", at positions 524 to 794 of the family's 1533-position model. The record is from RNAcentral.